RNAcentral lists this transfer RNA (62 nucleotides) under Epopella plicata. Its description in RNAcentral is "tRNA-Cys". The record is from RNAcentral. Lineage: Eukaryota; Metazoa; Arthropoda; Thecostraca; Balanomorpha; Austrobalanidae.
GGCGAUGUAUUUUAAGAAAAAUACCAUUUUGCAAAAGUGGAGUUACUUUUUAGUUAUCGCUU